RNAcentral lists this long non-coding RNA (453 nucleotides) under Aquilegia coerulea. RNAcentral describes it as "long non-coding RNA (ACOE_LNC001181)". The record is from RNAcentral. Lineage: Eukaryota; Viridiplantae; Streptophyta; Magnoliopsida; Ranunculales; Ranunculaceae.
UUGUAUCAUAGAGCUCCUAGCUCAAACAUUCCAGAACUUUGGAGCAGGGUUAACGAAGACAACAAUAAGAAUUUGUUCUGAACUGCCAAAACUAGAAUUCAUAGUGAGAUUGGGUUCGCUUCUAGGAGAGAAGUAUGUUGUACUUUUCUUUAUCAAGAGCAAAAAGAGCCAAAGAACUGAAGAAGGCAGAAAGAAAAACAGAAUCCUGUCUGAUCCAAUUAAUGGUUGAUUUACAAUACAAUAAAAAGGUAAAAACUGAAGUGUCUGAAUUAAUUAAUGUCUUAUUUUCUACAAUCAGUAUCACUGAAUAUGGAAUCAAAUUUGUACCUAAACUAGGUUUAGACUUUAGACAUUCUCCAUUCAUUGUGACUGUGGUUCUUCUGCAGACUCACACUUGCUCCUGACAAGUCAUGAUAGUUGAUAUUUAAGUAAAGCAUAUUGAAUCACAAAAAU